CAGCAAUUUACUAAAGAAAAGGAACAAGCAGACUUUACGAGCAGCAUAGUAAUUACACUUUGCUUAUGAUAAAAGUAAAGACACUAGCUUCAAAGCCACUCCAUUGUUACUUUUGUCUUUGAUCAAUGUUUUUCAUUUUUCCAGGACCGAAGAACAGGGGAUCCUUAUUGUUGCAAAAUAUUGAACAUGAGGCUAUGUUCAAACUCCCAGUCCUUCUAUCAGAGCUACUUUGUUCUUUUGUACAUUUGUCUUUGGUGACUUCUAUGAUACUCCUCUUACUCUUACACUGUUUCUCCCCUUGUGGACUAAUGGUUGCAAAUCUAACUGAAAUGAGAGGUAGUCACAUAUGGUAGCGUUAGUAAGAAUGGUGUCUCCAGUUUAAAGUCAUCAAGUCUCUGUGCAACAUAUAUCUCUGGAUAGUAAUAAAACCACCAGCUACUUCCCAAAUGAGAAAUGAUGGAACUGUGUAGGCUGCAGCCACUCCAUCUGUAAGGAUUGAGGACAACAAAUCAUGAAGGUGUAUUACUGCUAUUUUGGCUGCAUCUUCUUAUAGUUAAUAUUUACAUAUAUGUAGUCAAUUAAGCUAAUCUUUCAUCCAAAAGACAGGAAGACUGUAAGCAGAGUUAAGUUCAUUUUAUGGCAUUUCACAUUCUUGUUGAAAGUUGAAACCUACAACUUUACACUAUGAUUACUACUAAGACAAGAAUUCGGGGAUCAAUUCAACUGAUGCUAUACACUACAUGGUCGCAGGGAAAGAAAGGGCAGUGGGAAUGGAGCAUUUAACUCAUAAAAACGAUUCCUCAAACGGAGUCACAAUUCACAAAGGAUAAAAUGAACCAUGCAACUGAAACUACAAGAAGGCUGCACAAACACUGCUUGCAGUGUCACUCGUAAGUGUGCCAUUAGCAACUGAAACGGUCCUAGAAUAGCAACCAACAUCAUCCCUGUAAGAAUAAGUUUGUUGAGUGGUGGCUCCACCAGAUAGAACAUCAUGAUCUUGAACAACCAUCCACCCACUGCAUAUCUGCCGAUUUGUCAAAGAGGUUGAUAAAUCUCCAAUGGACUUCCUCUCCCUCCAUUCAUGAUCUAAAUCAGUAAGCAUCAAGCUUGUAUCAUUCUCUGUUGAAGGCAAAUUCUUAGUGGUCAUACUAAGUGGAUAUAUCUUCUUUACGGUGGUCCUAGAAAUCGUGAUACCCGUAUCAGACACUACUCUUACUAUGCUCUCUUCUCUCACAUUCUGCCUUACCCUUUUUUCAGUACCAUUGUGAUAAAACUUUAUCUCAUUCUUGAACUUCACUUCUCUGGAAACUGUUGUAGUUAAAUUUCCUGAAGUUGUAUUCACCCACCCCGAAAACUUGCUCUUCCUUCCCAUCUCAAUCUCAAACGACCCAUCAAGUCCAUGAAAACUCGAAGAUCGCUCGAUGUUAAACUUAGGAGCACCAUAAUCAAGAACCUCAGCCUGAACUUCACAUGGAGAUUUACAAUCAUCUAACCAUAAAUGCAAAUUCCCAUCCACAAGCCAAAAUGGGAUACUAUCCGCCACCCCAAGAUCCAAAAAAUGAUCUUUACCAUCAAGCAGCAGCUCCAAAAACGGCGUUAAAUCAAUAUCAUAAGAAGGAAGAUCAAAGGCACCAAUUGAAACCACCGGUUCCCAGAACAAAGGAUUAAUUCCUCCCGUGAAAAUCACUGGGAAUGGAACCAAAUAUCCUACCAAAUUCUCAUCUAUCUUUAACAAAACUUCCCUAUAAGCUCCAUGGCCUCUUUUUGUGGUCAAAUUAUUCAUCUUGAGAUAUGAAUCCGGCGGAUUUGAGUACCAAAACUCAUCAUCCCCGUGAAACGAUACAUAAAUUUCCAUCACAGCUUUGUAAGUAUUCUUUGGAAUCACAACUCUCUGCCCAUGUAAUUCUGAUUCACUCUCAAUUCUAAACCAAAAUCCAUUAUCUCCAUUCCCCGAUAUGGGGAUUAUCAAAUCAGCCGGUUUUUCAUAUAAAUCCAACGAAUUUCUCAGUUUGUUAACUUCCAUUGAAAUAUGAUUAUUAUCAACAUAAUUACCCAAUUCAACCCCGGUAACAUUCUUAAUAUCAUAGUAUAAAAAAGUAAGAUUAACAUGAUAAACCCCAGUAAAAAUUUCAUUAACUAAAUUUUCGAGCAUGACAGAAAGGGUAAUAUUGUCCUUUAAAAGAAUAGAAGUGUACUUGGUGACGUCUUUAUUAACGGUCCAGAAAAUUCCGUCAUCGGUGGGCUCAGCAGUGCUGGUACGGAGAAGUUCAGCACCGUCAAGCCAAACGGCGGCGAUACGGUCGUACUGUUCGCCUUUGCAGGAUACUUUGAACUGGAGAACGGCAUGAGUCCAAGAGCAUUUGAAGGGCGAGGAGUAAGGGAUAGAGACUGGCGGAAGGCCGUAUGUGUUGCUGAAGUUGUGGGUGAAUAAGGGCAGUGUGCAAGAUGGAGUACUGUUGUUAGUGAAGAGUAAUGGGUGACUGAUUUCGAUGUAUGGAUGUGGAGUUUUGGGGGAAAGUGUGUGUUUGAUGAAAUGGGAAUGGUGUUGUGGUAGUGAACAAGAAAGUGGAAAAAUCAAGAAGAAGAGAAUAGUAAUAAUGGAGGGGAGCAUUUUGACCGCUGAUGGAAAUGAAAAUCUGUUGAAUUUUCUAAUUUGGAAGGCAGGAGCUGAAUCUGAAUUGGGGUUUUGACUGCUCAGAUUUGAGAAUAAUCAGCUUGUUUUAGUUGGUCCAGUAGGCAGUAGCUAAGAUGUCCAAGUUCAACUAUAGUUCCUAAGGUGAAUGGUUUUGCACAAUUUGGGUUUAAUAACUACGAGUUUAAGUGUCAUGGCCCUUCUUGCUACUAGUAUCCUUGAUGACUUUGGUUUGGGUGUUUACAGUUAAUUUCUCCGUCGUUCGUCAUUCUCUUAGUUGCAAUUUUUGCUCUAAUACCACGUAGUCAACGUGGACGAAGUCAUAGUGAUAGCUGAGUCGUUCGUUGACUUCAAGAUUGAGCCUGCCAAGUCUAUAGGAGACAACUCCGAGUGGGGUGGAUGAGAUCAUGACAAGGAUAAGGGGAAAGGCAUAGCCGAGGUAUACAAGUGCAAUGGCAAGGGGCAUCCCAUAACGGACAGGGGCCCAAGAGAAACGAUAAGGAGCCGGAAAAUGGUAGCGAGUCGUGCCUAAGGGAGGGUGCUACUUCUGUAAAGAAUCACAUCGGGCAAGUGAUAUCCAGAGUUGGGGAAGCUUGCAAGAAUGAUCGAGAACUUUGUUCAGGCAUACAAGGGUGACACAGGAGGGACCACUUGCAUUGGGGGAAUGCGCUUGGAAUCUAAGCCGAAAGUAAGAGAUUCCAAACAGAGGCGGAUCCAGAAUUUAAAUUUUAUGGGUUCAAUUGAACCCGUAACUCUCACACUGGAUCCGCCUCUGAUUCCAAAGCCUAUCUUGGCGGCAUGCAAAUGGAGCAUGAUGGCAAUAAGAAAAGUUGGGCGGACAUAGUUGAAGAGGAUGACGAGUUACAAAGUGAUGGCACGCUAUCGGACUUAGACGAUGCACCAAGCAAAUGGGUCAAGUUUGCUAGCAAGGCUGGGACCACGGAGGGCAGCCAAAUAGGUAGUGGAAGCACAGACCCGAUACUUGAGAAGCUGCUAGACUUAGUAGAGUCAUAGGGAGAUUCAGACCAAGAGCAAGGAGAGGUAUUCGAUGGGCGGAGGAUCGAGACCAUCAUUGCUAGUCGUCCAAAGUACAAACAGGGCAAGAAGAAAGGUGACCAGUACCUUGUGACAUGGGAAGGCGAACUACCCCAUAGGGCAUCGUGGCUAAUGGACAACGAUCUCCGGCGACGCCAAGGCGAGGUGCGCGUGUACGUGUCGAUACUUUGUGCCGAGGGAGGCACAAAAUUGGGUGGGGGAGAAUGUCAUGGCCCGCCACAUCAUCAUGCCACGUAGGUGCCACUUGGCAUAUAUUUUUGCCAUAUGGAUUAUGGAAAGCUUACAUAUGAAAUAGACUAGCACAUGUGGGAAGGUUUUAGAGAAAUACAGAGAUUUCUCAUGGAAGACCUUAGAACCCUAUGGAAUUGCUAGGAAAGUACUUAGAAGAUUCUAACUAUGUAGAGAAUUCUAGAGAGGGGGCUUACUUAUAAAUAAUAAGGGCCUUGUGUAAUAAUUAUUAUUUACUCACUAGCCCUUAGGAGACUAGUAUAUAAAGGGGACUAUUUAUUUGUAAUUUAUCAAGCAAACAAUUCAAGUUCUCUCUGAUACAAAGUUUCUUUUAACAAUUCUCUUACAUUCUUUCUAACAUUCACUUAGCAAUUUUGAGUGUAGUAAGGCUGACUUGGCGUAGAAAGAACGUGAGCAAGUUGUGUAAGAUCGUGAGCAAAUUGUCAAGUGCCACACGUGUACUUAGUUAACGACCAAGUACAUGGCCUAUGUCCCAAUAAAUUCGUAGUUAUUGAUACGUCAUUGAACUAUUCUGUUUAGACAAAGAUCAUAUCCCAAUAUUGGAAUCAGCCAUGUCUAUACUGUCUUUUCUCCUAAUUUGAGCAAUUUUCUCAACCAAAAAAAUGUAGGGGGUCAAAUUUCCACAAAGAGGAGAUCCGAAAUUGCUGAUCGUUUUAGGAAUAUCAAAUCUUUUUAGACUUGUAUGUCCUAAACAUUAAUCCAUCUAAAGAAAGGUCCAUUUCAAUUUAUGUGUUUUACUUUUUUCUUUGGUCUAUUUAAAAAAGAGUGUCUUUUUCUAUAUUUAGUAUAACUCUUUAGUUUUAACUUUUCACAUGACAUAUUUUAAGACCCCAAGAUUCAAAUAUAUUUUGAUACAUUAUACGCAUUUUUAGUUUAAGAUCACAAGAUUUAAAAGUUUUAGUUACUUUUUUUUCAAUUUCGUAUCCAAUCAAACCAAAACACAUAAAUUGAAAUAAAGAGAGUAGUAUUUAUUUUAUGUAAUACAGUAAAAGAUUUAUUGGAGACUGUUUGUUAAGUAUUAUGUAUAUUACUUGUAUAGGGUAAAAUCGGUUCACAUUAGAUACUCGAAUGAUAGAGUGACACGUGGAUCCGAGGACAGACGGAAGACGAAGCGAGUGAAAACCAAGACCGAAGACAAUAGCUUCGGUUGGCAUCGGGUAGACCUCGAAGCAAACAUUGUUAACGAAGGCAAACGAAUAAUUGCCACCAGAUGACAUUCAAUGAAGAAUAUUCCUCAGUAUUAAAUACACAAUCCGUUACAGAGAAUUUUGGCAUUCAUAGCCUGCCGUUAAAUAUACAUUAAUGGCCCCCAUUAUUGUCAUUAAAGAGGGGUUUGAUCCUAGGACCUUGUUCCCUAGGUAUAGCUAUAAAUAGUGGCUUCAACAGCCAUUGUAAGCGACAAAAAUUCUCACAAACUUAUGCUACACAUUAUUCCAAGCUAAAUAACACUUUAUUUUAUUUCUAACGAUAUUCUUAUUGCUGCCUUCAGAAGCUUUUCUCCCAGAACUAAGCUGUCUAAUAUUUUAUCUCGAUUUCAACGCUAAGUCUUGCAUUUUAUUUAAUUUAUUUAUCAUUUUGGGAUCAAAUUGAUUCGCUUGUCUAUAAACCACGCUAUAAAUUCAAAUGUACCGUUUUACGGAUAAAUAGUUUAACGCCCACCAUGGAGCUUAGAUAGUUUCGUAAUUGGAUUGAUCCUUGCAUCUGAUACUAGUCUGUUUAAUUCUUUGUUUCUUAGCAAAAAUCGUAAAAGAUGGCAGCUAAUGAUGACAACAUCGUACACAACAUUGGGGCACAAGAAAAUCUGCCUCAACACGAGGACUCGAUCAGCGACACCCACAAUGAGGAGAACUUAGCCACGCCAGUUUAUGGCGGGCGAUAUCCACGACACAUACGUGAGGCGACUCCUGAUGAUGCCGAAAACGAGAAUGUUGCGGAGACAAUAAGGAUCUUGAGAGAACAACAAAAGGCCAUCAUGGGCCAUCUCUCAUGGCAAGAUCAGGCCAUAACAGAAUUAAGGCGAGCGUUGAUGGGUGCUUCCAACAAUGCUAAUAGAAGAGGCCAAGUUCCUCCCGGUGCUCCUGCAAAUCAAACAGCGCAAAGGGUUGACAACAACACCCCAAGGGAUGAGGUCGGCUUCGACGAGGCCGGGGGAACUGGCAGCAGAUCUGGUAACAACAACAAUAAUGAUCCCUUCAAAGACGAGCUCAUGCAGAUUAUGAGGGAAAUAAAUGCUCGAAUGGACCAAAUUCCGGGCGCAUCAGCAAUGCUGAAGGGCCCGGACUCAACGAAAUACACCCAGUUGUCGUUCAAACCAAGCGCAUCACCAGAUUUUAUUCCGAAACGGUUCAAAAUGCCAGAUGUACCAAAAUAUGACGGGACUUCGGACACUCAGGAGCACAUCACCACAUAUACAACAGAGGUGAAAGGAAACGACUUGGCUCCACAUGAGAUUAUCGGUCCUGCUGAAGAAGUUCGGAGAAACCCUCACGAAGGGGACCCUGACAUGGUACUUACUCUUACCCGAAUACUCAAUAUAUUCCUUUGAGAUGAUCGCAGACUCUUUCAUCAAGGCCUAUGCCACGGCUAGGAAGGUACAAGCCGGAAAGGCAGACAUAUUCAGAAUUGCUCAAGGAGAGUCCGAAUUGCUGCGUGAGUUCGUGACCAGGUUUUAGAAAUAAAAGAUGAUGCUACCGGCCAUGCCAGAUGAAUGGUCAGCUGAGGUAUUUACUAAGGGGAUGAACCCGAGGAGCUCCGACGCCUCCCGAAAACUGAAAUAAAGCCUGCUCGAGUUCCAGGCAACUACAUGGGCGGAUGUCCAUAACCGUUAUGAGUCAAAGAUAAGAAUAGAAGAUGAUCAGCUCGGGUUUCCAGCAUCGAAUAAGGGUCGGGAUCGAGAAAAGAACAUAGAUAAAUCGAAGGAUGAUUUUGAUGCAGAUCGACGAUCUUCUAAGGGCCGGUUUUUGCCCUACAAAAGGGCCGAAAGAUGCGACAAAGGGUUCCGGUCGGCGGAUAGGUUCGCUCCCGAUAGAAGAACUGACCGUAGCCGAAAUAAUAAGACAUAGCAAGAUAAAAGGUAUCGAGUCCCGUGAUUCCACCUAUCCCAGGCUGUCCGAGUACAACUUCAAUGUCAGCAUAGUGGAACAAGUAUCGACGAUGAGGAACAUCAAGGAAGCACGGUUCCUGAGGCUGAUAAGAUCCGAUGCCAGCCAGAGGGAUCCUAACCUAUGGUGUGAGUAUCACAGGACUAACGACCUCCGGACUGGGGACUGCCGACAUCUGCGCGAGGAGGUGGCAAUGUUGUUGAAAAAUGGCCAUCUUAGAGAGUUUUUAAGCGACCUGGCGAAGAACAAUUAUGACCACAACCGAGACAAUGCAGAUCCCUCGAAGAUAGGAGAAGACCCUCCUCGACUAACUAUCAACAUGAUUUUUUGGGGGAAAGAGAUUAACGGUGUAAGCUUUUCAGCAAAAAAAAA
This 7410-nucleotide long non-coding RNA is filed under the name Nicotiana tabacum (common tobacco). Its description in RNAcentral is "long non-coding RNA (NTAB_LNC009683)". The record is from RNAcentral. Lineage: Eukaryota; Viridiplantae; Streptophyta; Magnoliopsida; Solanales; Solanaceae.